AAUUAUUGGUCUAAAUGACAUUAAUAUAAGUUAUAUUUUUGUGUAUGCACAGUUGUAUAUAUUUUAUUGUCUCACUUUAAUCUGUCUGUAAAAUAACUCCCGAGUUUAAUUCCCGAGUUUGAACUAAUUUGGUGCAAAGGAAGCCGCUUGAAAUGUCCAAAAGUAGCGGGAAAAAGAUAUACACGUAUCUAUUACGAGUAUAUUAUUAUAACACGACACAAUAUUGUAUGCUAGUCUCUAUUUUCGGAGAAAAUUCGACAACAAUGAUGAUAACUUCAAAGCCUAUUAUUAAAUAAAAUUGAUCAUAGAAAAAAUUAUAGAAAUAAAAUGAGUGAUUUUUCAUUAAAAAAAAAAAAUGUACCGUCAACUUUAAUACGUGAACCAUAAUGUAUUGUGCCUAUGCUGUAGGUAAUUGUAAUAUAUCUAGAUGUUAAUGACAGGUACGAUAAUCAGGUCAUUGCGUUCGCUCGGGAGAUAUGUGUUAUCAUCAGUAUGAACACAAUAAUUCUAGUCGGUUCCGUUUCGACUAUAAUAUGAGUAUAGGUGUAGGUAAUAAUAUAUCCGUUGAUGAGUACUCCAAGGUUAGAUACCUGCCGAUAUAAAUUACACGGCAUCACAUGUGCGUGGUGCCCAUAACGGUUAUAACACUUCGAAAUUUUUCGUAAAUGCACUCGGUACGUUAGGAAAAUAGUAUUUUUUUCAGACGGACAGACGGAUGUCGACAUGAGUACGGUCCUCCAGAACUAAGCGGCGCAUAACAUUUAACAGUUAAAAUUCUAUAAAGUGUUCUCACAAAUUUUAAAGUUAACGGUCGUAGAUUGUUCGUUAUAAGGGCUUAUUAGACACCUUUCGAAGUUUGUUACGAUAUUUUAUAAUCGCCACAAAUCAACUUGUGCAUCGAUAUUUUUACACAAGCAGCGCAAAAGUUUGUAUCCGUAUAUUUCAACUUAUACUGCCCUUCAAUAAAGGGACAUACAGUAAACACCAACUUGUUAAAAAUGAGAUUAUUCCAUAUUAUCAAAAUUAAAUAAUAAAUUCUGCGCCUAUUCUUUUCAAGGUCAACUGUCAGCUGUAAAAACCACUACGAAUACCUCAUAAAUAAAUUUUAAUACGUCGUAACAACCAAAAAUUUCAUCCAAUA
This is a non-coding RNA of Cinara cedri, 1141 nucleotides long. Lineage: Eukaryota; Metazoa; Arthropoda; Insecta; Hemiptera; Aphididae. The record is from the annotation of a GenBank genome assembly.